RNAcentral lists this ribosomal RNA (125 nucleotides) under Cucumis sativus (cucumber). Lineage: Eukaryota; Viridiplantae; Streptophyta; Magnoliopsida; Cucurbitales; Cucurbitaceae. The record is from RNAcentral.
GGGUGUAAUCAUACCAGCACCAAUGCAUUAGUUUCCAUUAGAAUAAUAACUCUACAGUCAAGCGUGUUAGAGUGAGAGUAAUACUAAAUUGAACAAUCUUUUAGGAAGUGCUUCUGUUGCACCCA